This 399-nucleotide long non-coding RNA is filed under the name Mus caroli (Ryukyu mouse). Its description in RNAcentral is "lncRNA (MGP_CAROLIEiJ_G0005482.1)". The record is from RNAcentral. Lineage: Eukaryota; Metazoa; Chordata; Mammalia; Rodentia; Muridae.
GAUGAACGGAUGUUUUGCAGGGCUGUGUUUCAUCUCAACGAUCAGCUGGUUGACCUAUAUGUGAGACGUUGCAAGCCGAAUGUGAUGAUCCUGCUUAGAAUCCCAGCAUUUGAGAGGCUGAGCCAGCAAACUGACGGCAAGGUUUUACACUCCUUUGAGGUGAGACAGACCAACAGAUACCUGUAAACCAAUGAGUUUCUUUCAGCACCCUGGGAAUUGCAAGCAGAUGAACAGCGGUCCCUGCCCUCAAGAAAGCAUGCAAUGAUUUUGUGGCAUGGCAGAGAGCAACGGGGAUUCUAAGUGUUCAACUCUUUAGAGAGAGUGCUUAUUCAUGAUGGGAUAUUACAUAUAGAUAAUUAAUAAAAUAAAAAGCUUAUCAUUUUUACUUUGGCCAACACU